AUCUAAAAGGUCUUUGCCCAAGAAUUUUCCAUAUAAUAAUAAAUUUUAAUACAACAAAAUAAUAUAUUAUAUAUAUUAUACUGUAAUUUUAUAUGUUAUAAUAUUAUCCUUUUUUAAAAUAUAUAAAUUAUAUAAUAAAAAAAUUGGACAAUGAAAUGUAUUAUCUACCAUCCAUUUUAUUUAUAUAAAUAAAAGACAUACUUUUUUAAGGUAAUUCUUAAAUAUGUAAAAAUUAUUUUGGAAAUUGUAUCUGAUUAAAAAUUCAACUAAAGUGAACAUUUAAUUAGAAACUUUACUAAUCACCUAAUUAAAAUUUAUAUUUAAAAAAAAAAAAAAAUCAUUUUAUAUUAUGUGCACGGAUAUGAAUCUAGUUAUGACAUAAACUUUAAUAUAUAAUUUUCCUUUUUGGUCAGAUUACUUUAUGUGAAAAUAAGAGCUAUACGGGUUUGAAUUAAUGAGUAAACAAAAAAAAAAAUACUACUAAUAUUUUGAAUAUUAAAUUUAAUUAAAUCUAUAAAAUCUAUUGUCAAACAUAAUUUUUUAAAUGUAAUUAGAAGAAAAAUUAAAUGAAGUAAGAGACACCAUCCGUAGAUAUCUCCAAAUCAUUAGACUUGUGAAUAUCCAUAUUAUUGCUGCAAUUACUCAUGUCUUUCGUAGAUAUAAUCGUGCAGUUUUCAAACUCUAUUUGCAAAGAUUUCAACCACUAUGCAAGCCUUAACUUAAUAAUAAGACAUAUCCCCAUCUCAUUUCUAACCAAACAACAUAAAAGAGAACCUCAAUUACCUUCUUGCGGCCCUCUUGAUUGCUAAUGUUAGGCCGUGAAGCAAAAAAUUGGCUAAUAGUUUGAGGGCUAGCCUAAUGAAUUUUCCACCACCAUCAGCAAUAACUUUAGAUUUUCUAAGGCUAGACAUAGUUAAGGAUGAGAUGAUUGGCGGGCUCCCAUUUGCUUCGACAUAACAAUAAAGCAUUUGUAAAAUUCAAUUUAUACUUGUAUUUAUUAAGAUAAUCAAUCAACAAAAAAGACACCCUUCAUUAGUUGUCAAAUAAAGAUUAAAACCUUUAGAGGGGCUUUAGCAUGUCAAAUCAAACUCUCACUCUUUUAUAAGACUUAAUAAAAUAAAUAUAUAUAUAUUAUAAUUGUGUCAUUUCUAUAUCAAUUUGUCUCGUGUAAUUUUCUUUCCAAUCAAAUAUUCAUAUUUAAAAGUAAUAUUUUAGAUUUAGUAUUCAUCCUCCCAAAAAAUUAGAUUAUGGAUAAUAAUCUCUCUAUUCUUAGUUAAACAAAAAAAAAAAUUUAAGAAUAGUGACUUUAAUAGGGAUGUCACCAUACCACACAUCAUACCAAAAUUUAAUAUGUAUAUAUUUACUAAUUGUUCAAAUCAGACUUUCAAUAAGUCUUUACCAUUCUUAUUUCUCUGAAAAGUUGUCUUGAUAAUACAUUUUUAUACCCUAGAGGCAUAAUUUUCACUUAUCUUAAUCAUGAUAACACUUAUAUCUAUUCGCCACGACCAUCCAUAAUGCACUUCCAAACUCACUUGAACAAAACAAUAUUAUUCAUGGCUCUCAAAUUGAUAAGUCCUAAGCCCCCUCCCCUUAAAUAAACACAUAUUCUCAUAAUUGACCAUAUACGUUAUCUUAAUAUCAUUCACAGUUUAAAACACUCAUAAUUUUACUAAAAAUGAUGGGUUAGUACCUACACAUAUUUAGUACAGUCAAAUUACUUAAUAAUUUUCCUCUAAUCUCUAUCUGUAUAUAACAGAAACAGUACUAAUAUCUAUUUAUAUAUAACAAUAGUUGCUUACUCCUCUAUUAAUAUGUUAAAAAACUAUUGAUUAGUUCUAUACAUAUUUAUUACAAUCAAAUUACUUAUUCUUCCUCUAAUCUAUAUCUAUAUAUAACACAAAUUUAGUACUAAUCUCUAUUUAUAUAUAACAGAAAUUCAGUACUCAUAAAUUAUUAUAGAGGAUCAACAUUCUCAAUCUAUACAUACAAAAAUCAAUAAUGCUUAUAAUAGAUAACAAAGAAAAAAAGGCAUCGAAUUGAAUUUUGUUCAAACCACAACCUCACAAAUCUUCAAUGUUAUAGUUAUAUGCAUGUAUUAUAUUUUAUGAAUACAACCAAAGUAGAAAAUAAAUUUAUCGAACAUAUCGGAACAACUUCACAAUUUAAAAAAAAAAAAAAAAGGAUAGCCGUUUGUAUCAAAUCAGUUUUAGAAAAUAUUCAAGAAUGGUUUGUAAAUUCACAUAUUAUAUUUAAAUUUAUUUUAAAUCUUCUAGUUUAUUGAAAGUAAUACUUGUUAAAAUCAAUAAACACUUCAAAUUAUAUUAAUAUCAGGAAACAUAAUUAACAUAAUUGUUUCAAAUGGCAAGCUAAAUUAAAUUUCAGAAAAUAUUUUCAAGUAUAAUGAUUAUUUGAAGCACCAAAAUCAACUUGAAGAUUAUAAAAUUUUCUUUUUACUCAACUAUUUACAUAAAAUCAUGAAAUAGAAACACAGCUUAAUUCAAUAAAUUCUUUACUCAAAUGCUGUUAUAUAUAGUUUUAGACCUUGAAUUGUUAUAAAUUUUAACGAAGUAAAAUUUCGUUUGUCUAGACCUUGAAUAUCGUACAGAAUGUGGUAAAAAAAAAAGAUAAUUUUUUUUUUUUAAAAAAAAAAGAAACUCUGGAAAUAUAUAUAUAUAUAUAUCAUAUGAAAAAUAAUAAAUCAAAAUAUUAAUUAAUUAGUGGUGAAAAUUGAGAAUCUAAUCUGUUUUGAAAGGCAGGUGGGUCAUAAACACCAAAACUGGUCCCCUAACAGUAUGUGUCUACAAGGCAAAUUGCAACCAAAUUAAUUAAAACUCUUUUGUCCCUGUCUAUACACUCUCAAAAAGCUGUAUAUUAUAUGUGUGUGUGUGUCACUAUUAAAUUGACAUAUAUUUAAGUAUUUAUACAUAGAUUUAGAUUGAUAAGUUCUAGAGAGCUUCUAUUUUAUGCAUUCCCUUGAAAUUAUAUAGAGUUGUAUUUUUGCAAUUAUUUGCAUUGGGGUAUAUGUAUAUACAAUUUAUCGCUAUUAAUCGCAUUUUACAUUAUGGUCUAACAAUGGUGUUAUAUAUGUUUUAUUUUGUAUAUAUUGGGAAAUUGUUUAACAUGAUCAUACUAUACUGCAUCUAUAAUACUAGUCAAGAUAUACAUGUAUAUGCUGCACACAAAAAAGAAAGAAAUUAAUAGACAGAUGGAAGCAACAUUUAUUUCAUUUUCAAAUUUUCUUAACUAAUCAAUUAACUAUGUACACCCAAAGUUGUAUGUUCAAUAUGUAUGUAUAUUAUAUAACUCAACUUCAUCAUGAUUGUAUAUGUUCAAUCUGGGAAAGAUUGACACAAGCAAGAAACAUAUGUAUAUAUACACACACACACAUAAACAGACACAAGCAAGAUGUGUAUAUUUAAUAUAUAUAUAUAUAUAUAUGCACACAAGCAAGCUGUCGCAUCGGUGAUAAUAUGCAUAUGUAGCUUACACAUCGACCAUACAUAUACAGAGAGAUUUUUUACAUGUUUUUUUCUGGAUAUAUCUGCAAAUUUANNNN
RNAcentral lists this long non-coding RNA (3556 nucleotides) under Carica papaya (papaya). Its description in RNAcentral is "long non-coding RNA (CPAP_LNC005821)". The record is from RNAcentral. Lineage: Eukaryota; Viridiplantae; Streptophyta; Magnoliopsida; Brassicales; Caricaceae.